GGAGAAAACCUUCAGAUCGAAAGACCUUGUGCUUUUAGAGCGGCCGAUGCCUGAUUAGCUAGUUGGUAAGGUAAAGGCUUACCAAGGCAACGAUCAGUAGCUGGUCUGAGAGGACGACCAGCCACACUGGGACUGAGACACGGCCCAGACCCCUACGGGAGGCAGCAGUGGGGAAUUUUGGACAAUGGGCGCAAGCCUGAUCCAGCCAUGCCGCGUGAGUGAAGAAGGCCUUCGGGUUGUAAAGCUCUUUCGGUCGGGAAGAAAUAGUUGUGGCUAAUAUCCAUAACGAAUGACGGUACCGACAUAAGAAGCACCGGCUAACUACGUGCCCGCAGCCGCGGUAACACGUAGGGUGCAAGCGUUAAUCGGAAUUAUUGGGCGUAAAGGGUGCGCAGGCGGAUGUAUAAGUCAGAUGUGAAAUCCCCGGGCUUAACCUGGGAAUUGCGUUUGAAACUACAAGGCUAG
This 465-nucleotide ribosomal RNA is filed under the name uncultured beta proteobacterium. Its description in RNAcentral is "bacterial SSU rRNA". It matches the Rfam family "Bacterial small subunit ribosomal RNA", at positions 185 to 644 of the family's 1533-position model. The record is from RNAcentral. Lineage: Bacteria; Pseudomonadati; Pseudomonadota; Betaproteobacteria.